CAUAUUUUUUUAAUAUUAUAUAUUUUGUUUAUUGGCUGUAUGACUAGUAAGCAUCUUUCUUGUUAACAAUUUGUUUCGGAAAAUUUAUGAAUGUGGAAGAUAUUAUUGUGUAGCUGAAAUCGGUAGUGAAAGAUGGGGACGGUCAUGUCAUUGGGUGGUCCUGAGUCCGAACUUCCUUAGCAAGACCCAACUGAGAAGUGCCAGUAUACAAAAGUGGUACGCAUGCCAUCAUAUAGAUUCUGUGAGAAGGAAACACAAGCAGCUAGAUUGUGCUGAACACAAGCAGAGUUCUAUAUCAUUCUUCAAGGUCUAACAUCCCGAGACCGCCAUUUCACAUUGGUCUUGCGCAAUAACCAAUGCUGCCGAGGUGUGAAAAGGUUCAUAUAACAAUGAAAAGGCUCGUAAACUUGCUUUACGGCAUUGGCUUGAGAUUGUGAGUCAUACAUUAUCACAUCGCCUUUGGGUCGAACUACUAGUUUUUCUCGACAGCCACUAGUUAAAAUUGAUUCCCUUCUUACGAAUAGGUAGAAGUGUUGUCAAAAAUGGACGAUUUGCGAUUCGAAUCAUCCGAUUCGUAUCGUGAUGGAUGUUAAACGAUACAAAUCGUUUGUUUAAAUCCUUUUGCAAGUGAAUCGCACGUUUCAUUGAAAUGAAUCUCACGAUUCGAUUGAAUCGUCGAUUCACCAAUUUCAAACUUUGCGUUCUUUAAUUCAUUUUAACCCACCAAUUGCAAAAUAAUUUAGAAAAAAUAAUAUUUAAAAAGUGGAGAAGAAGAUAAUAAUGAUAGAUGAUCUAUAAAUAAGUAGAAAAGAUGGAGAAGAAAAGAAGAUUAUGAUUCAUGAUGAAAAUAAAGAAGAAGAAGAAGAAGAAGAAGACGUAGAAGCAGAGAAGAAGACGAAGAAUGAAGAUGAUAAUGAAUAAAAUUUAUUAUUAUUUAAUUUUAAUUUUAAUUUUGAUUGAUCAAAGAGAUGGUGAUAAGAUGGGGAGAUCACGUGGUGCAAGUGGAUAAAGAUUAAAUAAAAUAAUAAAAAAUUUAUUAUUAUUUUAUUAUUUUUUUAAAUUUUUAUUGGUUGAGGAAAUUGAUGGGAUGGGAGACCACAUGCAAUAGCAAGUGAAUAAAUUUUUUUAUUUUUUUAUUAUUUAUUAAGGUGUGAUAUUUUAAAUUUGUGACACAUUAUCUCAAGCUCCACGUGCAACUUCAAAAACAAAUUUCUUUUUAAUAUUUUUAAUAUAUAAUAAAAUAAUAAAUGAUAUGUAAUGUAAUUAUGUAUAUAUAACAAUAAUCAUAUAAAUAUGUAAAUCUAAUUUUUCUAAACAAUAAUAAAAUGAAAGCAUUUUAAAAUUUUAAUAAAACGAUUUAUGUUUGGAUUCAUGAUUUGACAACGUAUUAUGGUCAUACCCUUUGUUUCUAUUAAUACUACUCUGCCAGGUGGCUCCAUUGUGAGAGUAAGCCGACUCGGUAAGAUUACUUGCUAACACCUCCAGAACAAAUUAGAAAAUUUCAUUUGAUCUUUACAACUAAGAACAUUAAACACUUAAUUCAUCAUUAUGAUGUUUGGAAUUGUAGGCUCAAUGUAGGGGAAGCUAGAGAAACCAACCUCGAGGGAAUGCCCUCGACUGAAGCUUCAAGAACAAUGAAUCAAGUAUCUUGAUGCGGAAACUGUAUGCAGAUAACAUGUUGCUUGAUUUUGCGGAUGGAAAGAAAGGCUUUAGAAAUUGAAGUGCAGGAUGGGGAAGUUUGUGUACAGGCAGAGUGGGAAACUUGUUGAUACAAAAGGAGAACCUGAAGAUGCUAAGUAGAUAUUUGUCCUUGGCACAUCCAAGACCUUGUACAUUGGGCAGAAGAAUGAAGGCAUAUUUCAACAUUCAAGCUUCUUGGCAGGUGAAGCCACAUUAUCUGCUGGAAUUUUAGUUGUGGAAGAUGGUGUUCAAAGGCAGCUUGGCUACACAGUGGACAUUAUUGUCCAACGGAAGAAAAUCCUCAAGAGUUCAUGUCAUUCCUCAAGAAACACAAAAUAGAUAGAUGUAAGCAAUGUAAAGGUAAUAUAUACGGACAUCAAUUCAUAUUAUGUCAAGAUAGUUACUCUGCUACUAUCAAGAUAGUUAUUCUAAGGCAAAAACUUCCUAUCUCCACUUUUUGCUAAAAGAAACUUUUGUUUUCUAUAGUUUUUAGCUGAUUUUUAUAGGUUUUAAGACAUUCCUGUCUCAUGGCAUAGAGCCAAUCACUGAUAUUCUACUUUUUAUUUUCCAUGUUUAAACCAGGAAAGCCCAAUUGAGGGUAUCAUAAUUUUUGAAAAUUGCAAAGGAUAUAAUCAAAAUUGUUCCGACUUCGUUAUUGUAAUCAAAAUUAUUUGGCUUUUUAUUUUCUCAAAAAUCUACUCAAUGGGACUUCCAGCAAUAAACUUGUAUGAAAGGGCCAGACGCCAUGGAGACACAGGAGAUGCAGAAGCGAUCGACCAAGAUAGACUUCUUCGUCGAAUUAGUGAUCCCUGAUCCUAUCUAACGAAGAUUUGAUCCUAAAAUAGGGGGGUUGAUCGGAAAUCUCAGCCAUUUCUUUUCUUGUAUUUAUUAUUAUUCUUACUGAUCUGUAGUUCAAGGGCACUAUUCCCAAUCCGAGUUUGAGAUGGAAUAAGACCCAGAGGGAAGCAGUUUUGUCUUGAUUUACAAGGUAAAUAAGGGGUCUUCUCUUUCCCCACGAGGGAAAUCCCUUUCCAGAUGGAGGAGACAUAGCUCAUACGCACUUCUGAUCCAAAACACACUUGCGGAUUCGCAAAGCACAAACAGGUAAAAAUGAUUACAAAGAGUAUACAAGGAAAGAAAACAUCACAACUCGUGUUGAAAGGCAGAUGCCCCCAAAAUAUAGUAAAGAAACAUUAAAUAUGGGAUUGAAAAUUUAAAGACCAUGAUGGCUUUCCUCUUUUUAAUAAUAGCAUUUUCUACAUCCAGUCCAUUGAAAAUUUUUAUGAAGCCUGUUAACCAAGCAAGUACAAGAUAAAGGUCCUAACGCAAACUACAAACAUUAGCAC
This is a long non-coding RNA of Ziziphus jujuba (common jujube), 3026 nucleotides long. RefSeq lists it as uncharacterized. NCBI's taxonomy places the organism in Eukaryota, Viridiplantae, Streptophyta, Magnoliopsida, Rosales, Rhamnaceae. The record is from RefSeq and is a predicted model, not a curated record. The transcript is spliced from 5 exons.